CCUACGGGAGGCAGCAGUGAGGAAUAUUGGUCAAUGGACGAGAGUCUGAACCAGCCAAGUAGCGUGAAGGAUGACUGCCCUAUGGGUUUUAAACUUCUUUUAUAUGGGAAUAAAAUGUUCCACGUGUGGGAUUUUGUAUGUACCAUAUGAAUAAGGAUCGGCUCACUCCGUGCCAGCAGCCGCGGUAAUACGGAGGCUCCGAGCGUUAUCCGGAUUUAUUGGGUUUAAAGGGAGCGUAGGUGGAUUGUUAAGUCAGUUGUGAAAGUUUGCGGCUCAACCGUAAAAUUGCAGUUGAAACUGGCAGUCUUGAGUACAGUAGAGGUGGGCGGAAUUCGUGGUGUAGCGGUGAAAUGCUUAGAUAUCACGAAGAACUCCGAUUGCGAAGGCAGCUCACUGGACUGCAACUGACACUGAGGCUCGAAAGUGUGGGUAUCAAACGGGAUUAGAUACCCGGGUAGUC
Molecule: ribosomal RNA, 460 nt
Filed under: uncultured bacterium
Lineage: Bacteria
Description: partial 16S ribosomal RNA
Rfam family: Bacterial small subunit ribosomal RNA
Source: RNAcentral